GACCGCGUAGCUCAGGUGGCAGAGCAUUGGGCUAGUAUUCCAAAGGUCGUAGGUUCGAUUCCCACCGUGGCCG
Non-coding RNA from Paramuricea clavata, 73 nucleotides. The record is from the annotation of a GenBank genome assembly. Lineage: Eukaryota; Metazoa; Cnidaria; Anthozoa; Malacalcyonacea; Plexauridae.